RNAcentral lists this transfer RNA (84 nucleotides) under uncultured Elusimicrobia bacterium. RNAcentral's name for it is "tRNA-Leu". It matches the Rfam family "tRNA". From Rfam's summary of the family: Transfer RNA (tRNA) molecules are approximately 80 nucleotides in length. Their secondary structure includes four short double-helical elements and three loops (D, anti-codon, and T loops). Further hydrogen bonds mediate the characteristic L-shaped molecular structure. tRNAs have two regions of fundamental functional importance: the anti-codon, which is responsible for specific mRNA codon recognition, and the 3' end, to which the tRNAs corresponding amino acid is attached (by aminoacyl-tRNA synthetases). tRNAs cope with the degeneracy of the genetic code in two manners: having more than one tRNA (with a specific anti-codon) for a particular amino acid; and 'wobble' base-pairing, i.e. permitting non-standard base-pairing at the 3rd anti-codon position. Lineage: Bacteria; Pseudomonadati; Elusimicrobiota; Elusimicrobia. The record is from RNAcentral.
GGGCUGGUGGCGGAAUGGCAGACGCGACAGACUUAAAAUCUGUUGACCGCAAGGUCGUGGGGGUUCAAGUCCCCCCCUGCCCAC